Ictidomys tridecemlineatus (thirteen-lined ground squirrel) is the source of this 1577-nucleotide long non-coding RNA. RefSeq lists it as uncharacterized. Lineage: Eukaryota; Metazoa; Chordata; Mammalia; Rodentia; Sciuridae. The record is from RefSeq and is a predicted model, not a curated record.
CCUCACUCUCUUAAAAAAAAAAGAAUUAAAAAAAAAAGACUCUCAAAAAACUGAAUAUUUUACAGCCCCACUGUAGUCAUAACCUUGCAGCUGCAUUGACAGAUUUCCUAAAGAAGGGAGGGGAAUGAAGGAGGGAACUUGAUUUUCUGAGCCCUUAAAUGUGCCAGAAGUGCUCCUAGCAGAACUACAUAAGGGCUUUUGCUUCUUCUCAUUUUAUGUCUGAGAACUCCCAUUCUUCCUUCAGAUCUCAUCUUAAGUGUUAGUUCUCAUGUGGAACAUUGCCACACAAGGCCAAAUUUCCCCAACACAUAUUCUCAGAGCACCAUGAACCUCUCAAAACAACAUGUAUCAUAUUUGCAACUUGGUAUAUAAAUAAUAAUUAGGUGAUUUUUACCAAUGUUUAUCUCCCCAGUUAACCUACAGGCUGAUGGGGGCUGCCUCAAUCCACCAAUGGUGGUGGGUUUUGCUCAUCAUUACAGCUCAGUAUCUACCACAGUGUUUGCACAUAUCAGGUGAUUAAUAAAUAGUGAACAAAUACAUGGUUAGGAAAUUGGGCUUAGAACAUAUAGAUCUAAAUUUGAAUGUUGGCAUAGUACACAGAGUGAUGACACCAAAAGAUGUGAGGUCCAAAUCUCUGGAACCUGUAGUAUUACCUAACCUGUAAUAGUAUUAUUGAGAUGGUGAUGUUAUCAUGAAUUAGCUGGGAAGCCACGUGUCCUUAUAAAACAGGUAGAAACAUAAAAGGAGGAAGUCAAUACGACCAAAAAAACAGAAAUUGGAGUGAUGUGACUAUAAGCCAUGAAUGCUAGCUGGCCUCAGAAGAUGGAAGACAAAGAACAGAGCAGAUUUUUGCACUGUGGAAUCGAUUUCAGAUUUCCAAUCUUCUGAACUGUGAGAGAAUGAAGCAUGCACUAACAAGAAGCAGGACCAGUAUGUGCGAAGUUUUCCCUGAUUGCAUGAACAUAGACCAUAUGAAGAAAAUCCUUGCCACAAGAAAGAAAGAGGGGGAAGAAAACUGCCUCUGACCCAGUAGAUGAUGGAAAGAAGGAAGAGAUGAUAGCAGUGGAAGCAAGUAUUAAGAAUCCAAUAAUUGGACUGUCUGUUCUACUAUAGUUUGAAUUUUGGAUAUCCCACAAGAGCUCUUGUAUUAAAGGCUUGGUCCCCAGCCUGAGGGGUCAUGGGAGGGAAUACAACCUUUAGGAGGUGGAGCCUCAUGAAAGGAAGUUAGGCCAUAAGGCAUAUGCCCUCAAAGAGGAUACUGAGAUCCUGGUUUUUUCCUUUUCCUCUUGCUCUUUUGUAUCUGGCCUUCAGGUGAACAGGUUGCUUCACUAUGUGCUCCCUGCCAUAACGGGCUGCCUCCCUACAGGACCCACAGUGGUGGGACCACCCAAAUAUGGACUGAAACUUUUGAAACCAUGAGCUAAAAUAAAUCUUUCCUCCUCAUAACUUGAUUUAUCCCAGUUAUUUGUUACACUAGCAGAAAAUUGAGUAACACAUCCCAUCCUGAUGAUGCUGUUUAUACUUUUAUAAUACUUAUUUCUCUAUGUUGUGAAGAAUAAAGUAGAGUUUUAAUGGCU